RNAcentral lists this ribosomal RNA (496 nucleotides) under uncultured bacterium. Its description in RNAcentral is "partial 16S ribosomal RNA". It matches the Rfam family "Bacterial small subunit ribosomal RNA", at positions 29 to 507 of the family's 1533-position model. The record is from RNAcentral.
AUGAACGCUGGCGGCGUGCCUAAUACCUGCAAGUCGAGCGCACGGACGAGAAGCUUGCUUCUCUGAUGUUAGCGGCGGACGGGUGAGUAACACGUGGAUAACCUACCUAUAAGACUGGGAUAACUUCGGGAAACCGGAGCUAAUACCGGAUGAUAUUUUGAACCGCAUGGUUCAAAAGUGAAAGACGGUCUUGCUGUCACUUAUAGAUGGAUCCGCGCUGCAUUAGCUAGUUGGUAAGGUAACGGCUUACCAAGGCAACGAUGCAUAGCCGACCUGAGAGGGUGAUCGGCCACACUGGAACUGAGACACGGUCCAGACUCCUACGGGAGGCAGCAGUAGGGAAUCUUCCGCAAUGGGCGAAAGCCUGACGGAGCAACGCCGCGUGAGUGAUGAAGGUCUUCGGAUCGUAAAACUCUGUUAUUAGGGAAGAACAUAUGUGUAAGUAACUGUGCACAUCUUGACGGUACCUAAUCAGAAAGCCACGGCUAACUACGUG